RNAcentral lists this ribosomal RNA (332 nucleotides) under uncultured bacterium. RNAcentral describes it as "bacterial SSU rRNA". It matches the Rfam family "Bacterial small subunit ribosomal RNA", at positions 568 to 898 of the family's 1533-position model. The record is from RNAcentral.
CGUGUAGGCGGCCAUGCAGGUCCGCUGUGAAAACUCGAGGCUCAACCUCGAGACGUCGGUGGAAACCGCAUGGCUAGAGUCCGGAAGAGGAGAGUGGAAUUCCCGGUGUAGCGGUGAAAUGCGCAGAUAUCGGGAAGAACACCCGUGGCGAAGGCGGCUCUCUGGGACGGUACUGACGCUGAGACGCGAAAGCGUGGGGAGCGAACAGGAUUAGAUACCCUGGUAGUCCACGCCGUAAACGAUGGGUGCUAGGUGUGGGAGGUGUCGACUCCCUCCGUGCCGCAGCUAACGCAUUAAGCACCCCGCCUGGGGAGUACGGCCGCAAGGCUAAA